RNAcentral lists this unclassified non-coding RNA (398 nucleotides) under Hevea brasiliensis (rubber tree). Lineage: Eukaryota; Viridiplantae; Streptophyta; Magnoliopsida; Malpighiales; Euphorbiaceae. The record is from RNAcentral.
GAAAGAUGCUUGGCAUUCAGGUACGUCAAGUUUUGCAUAAUUUUGGUUUGCCUACUGUUGUGAUCAUGAAAGAUGAUAAAGCAAAAGCUUUUUGCUCACAGUUGGAUGGUGCUUAAGCAGUAAUGGUAGCAAUAGUAUUUUUCUUCCUAUUUAAUCUUUUUGGUGAAAAUGUACAUAACUGCUCUUAUUUUUCCCCGUCUGGAUAGGCCGUCUCUGGAAAAUCCAAAUUGUUUAUCAUACCUGUAAAUGUUUUCUAUUUGAUUGAUAUUUUUGUUUCACAGCCAAGAUCUUUUGGGUUUGCGGGCACAAAGGAUAAGCGCUCUGUGUCAACCCAAAGGGUUACUGUUUUCAGGCAGCAUGCUAGUAGACUAGCUGCUCUUAAUGACAGAUUGAUUGGU